CACACGACUCUCGGCAACGGAUAUCUCGGCUCUCGCAUCGAUGAAGAACGUAGCGAAAUGCGAUACCUGGUGUGAAUUGCAGAAUCCCGCGAACCAUCGAGUCUUUGAACGCAAAUUGCGCCCGAGGCCACUCGGCCGAGGGCACGCCUGCCUGGGCGUCACGC
This 164-nucleotide ribosomal RNA is filed under the name Triticum aestivum (bread wheat). RNAcentral's name for it is "5.8S ribosomal RNA". It matches the Rfam family "5.8S ribosomal RNA". Rfam says of the family: 5.8S ribosomal RNA (5.8S rRNA) is a component of the large subunit of the eukaryotic ribosome. It is transcribed by RNA polymerase I as part of the 45S precursor that also contains 18S and 28S rRNA. The record is from RNAcentral. Lineage: Eukaryota; Viridiplantae; Streptophyta; Magnoliopsida; Poales; Poaceae.